Molecule: long non-coding RNA, 528 nt
Organism: Carassius auratus (goldfish)
Lineage: Eukaryota; Metazoa; Chordata; Actinopteri; Cypriniformes; Cyprinidae
Exons: 3
Source: RefSeq, a predicted model, not a curated record
GUCCCCAAACCUGAGAUAAAAAUAGAGAAGAUUGAAAUGAACCCUAAUGCUGUGUAUUUAAUAUGUGAGUACAGUGAAACAAUAAUCUGGAAGAAUUCAGCUGGAGAAACACUGAAGGGUUCACCCCAGAGUCCAAAAGGAGAAUUAAUCAAAGUUGAAAAACAAGGAAAUCCAGAUUUCUUCUACACAUGCACACUCGAGAAUGCAGUGAGUGAGAAAACCAGUGAUCCGGUCUAUGAGAGAAAUCUGUUUAAAGAUUUACGAGGAUUUGUUAUUUGGAUUGCCACUGUUUCAAUCAGCAUGGUUUUUAUCAUCCUUUUCCUGUUUAUACCACCUUGUUGUCACGCAAUAAGAGGCUGAUUCUGAAUCCCGGUUUUACUGAAACAACUGGAGCUCUAAACUAUCUGUUCCUUCAUAACUUUUACUGUUGCUUUUUGACCUCUGUGUCUGUUGGACUAUGCAGAUGGUGUUGAAACUUCAUCCUCCAGUUCUGAAUCUGCUGUUAUGUAUGCGAAUAUUUUAUUUUCA